RNAcentral lists this transfer RNA (71 nucleotides) under Marmota monax (woodchuck). RNAcentral's name for it is "tRNA.Ala". Lineage: Eukaryota; Metazoa; Chordata; Mammalia; Rodentia; Sciuridae. The record is from RNAcentral.
GAGGUUGUGGCUCAGCGGUGGAGCACUUGCCUAGCAUGUGCAAGGCCCUGGGUUCCAUCCUCAGCACCACA